Molecule: long non-coding RNA, 957 nt
Filed under: Prunus persica (peach)
Lineage: Eukaryota; Viridiplantae; Streptophyta; Magnoliopsida; Rosales; Rosaceae
Description: long non-coding RNA (PPER_LNC006147)
Source: RNAcentral
UGAACUUGGACGGUUCUUCUCACAGCUCAACCCAAAUGUGACCUGAUCUAACCCGUGCCCAGGGCUAUACAAAAGUGCCAAACUUGAUACAACUUUUUCUUGAUUUUUCACUCCAUAAAUGCAAAUACCUAGAUGGAGAAACUUGUUGCUAAUCAAGAAUUCAUUGAUUUCAUCAAAUUCUACAGCAACCUGCUUCCGUGAUUCCAUUCUACCCCAACUUCAUGUGUGAAGCGGAAGAACAAAUGGACCUUUGUGAGUUUCUUUUCCCUUUAUGCCUUUUACAGUAGAAGAAUAAAUAGAUGGAUGCCCUUCCAUAAUUUUCUAUUUGUUUUUUGUUUUGCUGAAAAAAGUCCAAGUAAUUUAUGUAUUUGUUUCUUCAUUCGCUCAAUACUCAAUUGAGGAAAGUUUGUACUUUCUCGUAAAUUAUGUAUCCAUUUUGUUUGUUUGAGGCUUUAUAUAUGAUAUAGUUAGGAUUUAGUGUUAGAAAUCAAAGGGGGACCUAUUUGUUGAUUAGGAUUCAAAAUAGCUAGUGAUUUUGGGAUUUUGGCAAAGGAAAAUGGCGCAACGACAAGAGAUCGUACCUUACAUUUGCCACUGUGGGAAUUCAUGUCGAGUGGAGACAUCAUGGACUGAAGUUAACCCAGGAAGGAGGUUUCAAUUCUGAGAAGGGUAAGGAAUUGACAUAUUUGUUGAUUUUUGUUGGUUUUUCAGUUUGAACGUGUGUUUUUCCGAUGUUGAUAUAUAUAUGGGUUGAUUGAUAUAAGGAGGAACAAUGGAUGUGGGCAUUUUGGUUUUUAGUUGGUUGCUGGUUUUUGCUUUGUUUUUGUGGUAGAUCUCAUGUGUUUCAGUGAAAAGAAUGGAAAUGAAAUAUUGGAAGCACAUGUGUUUUGUGGUAUAUCUCAUUUUGUAAUGUUACUUGUUAAAGAAAUGGAAAUAAAACAUUGGAAGCACCCUGGU